Pseudopipra pipra is the source of this 561-nucleotide long non-coding RNA. RefSeq lists it as uncharacterized. The record is from RefSeq and is a predicted model, not a curated record. The transcript is spliced from 3 exons. NCBI's taxonomy places the organism in Eukaryota, Metazoa, Chordata, Aves, Passeriformes, Pipridae.
GCCUUUGAACCCGCUGUGAGUUGGUGCCCCGCGCCUGAUCAUAAGGGCGUGAGCUGCAGCUCAGCAGCAGUUACGAGCACCACUGAAAGACUUGGUGGGGGAUGCCGUUCUGCGUUUAUUUAGAGUUUUGAUACUUUCGGUGAGCUACAGUAAUUUCUUUGCAACUAGGUGACGGGAUUGGUGCUGUUCUCUUUCUGGAGAGAAAGACAUCCUUGGUCAUCUAAAGCAUUGCACUCUCUUCCUGAGAGAGGCAAUGGCCACAGCAGGGAACGACUCCUUCAUUGCCGAGGGAAUGACUCCGCCACAAAGGAUCCUCUUUCCCCCCGAGAAGAUUUGCAUGGUCUGGCAGCAAAGACAGAGUGCUGGAGCAGGACUCCUCAAUGUGGGCAACACAUGCUUCCUUAAUGCUGUCCUGCAAUGCCUGACAUACACCCCGCCGCUGGCCAACUAUCUGCUCUCCCGGGAGCACAGCCAGGCCUGUCGCCAACAAGGCUUCUGCAUGAUGUGCAUCAUGGAAGCGCAUGUUAACAAGGUCCUGCGUUCAGUCAGUGCCAUCCUGCC